This 77-nucleotide transfer RNA is filed under the name Woeseiaceae bacterium. RNAcentral's name for it is "tRNA-Pro". It matches the Rfam family "tRNA". From Rfam's summary of the family: Transfer RNA (tRNA) molecules are approximately 80 nucleotides in length. Their secondary structure includes four short double-helical elements and three loops (D, anti-codon, and T loops). The record is from RNAcentral. Lineage: Bacteria; Pseudomonadati; Pseudomonadota; Gammaproteobacteria; Woeseiales; Woeseiaceae.
CGGGGCGUGGCGCAGCCUGGUAGCGCACUUCUCUGGGGGAGAAGGGGUCGGAAGUUCGAAUCUUCUCGCCCCGACCA